Molecule: ribosomal RNA, 3168 nt
Filed under: Capsicum chinense (habanero)
Lineage: Eukaryota; Viridiplantae; Streptophyta; Magnoliopsida; Solanales; Solanaceae
Description: eukaryotic LSU rRNA
Rfam family: Eukaryotic large subunit ribosomal RNA
Source: RNAcentral
CACUCUGACCGCGACACCAGGUCAGGUAGGAUUACCCGCUGAGCAAAGGAAAAGAAACUUACAAGGAUUCCCUUAGUAAUGGCGACCGAACCGGGAAUAGCCCAACCUUAGUAUCGGGUAGCUCCGUUGUUCGAAUUCUAGUUUGGAGAAGCAUCCUCAGCGGCGGAUCAGGCCUUAGUCCUCUAUAAGGGGGCGCCAGAGAGAGAGAGAGCCCCAUUGUGCUCGGACCAUAUCGCACGACGAGGCACUAUCUACGAGCCGCGUUGUUUAGGAAUGCAGCCCAAAUCAUAUGGUGAAUUCCAUCCAAGGCUAAAUACGAGCGACAGACCGAUAGCGAACAAGUACCGUGAGGGAAAGAUAAAAGGACUUUGAAAAGAGAGUCAAAGAGUGCUUGAAAUUAUCGGCAGGGAAGCGGAUGGGAACCGUCAAUGUGCCCUGGUUCGAUGUGGAAUGGCGAUGAGCCAGUCUGCCGAUCGACUCGGGGUGUGGACCAGCGUCGAUUGGGGACGGCCAAAGCCUGGGAUCUCGAUACUCUCGUGGAACGCUGUUUCCUCGAUUGUGGUAGGCAGCGCAUGCCUCCAGCAUUGUUCGGCAUCUGUGCGCUAUAGAUGCUGGCCUGUGGGCUCUUCAUUCGACCUGUCUUAAAAAACGAACCAAUAAGUCUGACAUGUGUGCGAGUCAGCAGGCGAGUAAACCUGUAAGGCGUAAGGAAGCUAAUUGAUAGUUUCCCCUAGAGGGGUGCACCGGCGACCGACCUUGUUCUUCUGAGAAGGGUUCAAGUGUGAGCAUACUUAUUCGAACCCAAAAGAUGGUGAACUAUAUCUGAACGGGGCGAAACCAGAGAAAACUGUGGUGGAGGCCUACAGCAAUAAUAACGUGCAAAUCAUUCGUCUGACUUAGGUGUAGGUCCCACGGCUACUUUGUCGAGCCGUGCCACGGAAUCAAGAGCUCCAGGUGGGCCAUUUUUGGUAAGCGAAACUGGCGAUGAGGGAUGAACCAGAAGCCGGGCUACACUACCAAACUGCUCGCUAACCUAGAUCCCAAAAAGAGUGUUGGUUGAUUAAGACAGCAGGAUGGUGGUCGUAGAAGUAAAAAUCCGCUAAGGAGUAUGUAACAACUCACCUGCCAAAUAAAAUAGCCCCAAAAAUAGAUGGAGCUUAAGUGUGCCACCUACACCCGACCGUCGGGGAAAGUUCUAAGCCCCAAUAUGUAGGAGGGCGUGGCGGUCGCUGCAAAACCUUGGGUGCGAGCCUGGGUAGAACGGUUGUCAUUGCAGAUAUUGGUGGUAGUAGCAAAUAUUCAAAUGAGAACUUUGAAGGCCGAAGAGGGGAAAGGUUCUCUGUGAACGGCACUUGCACAUGGAUUAGUCGAUCCUAAGGUUUGGGAAACCCCAACAGAUGGCACAUUUCACGCGUACUCCAAAAGGGAAUCGGGUUAAAAUUCUUGGACCGAGAUGUGGCGGUUGAUGGCAACGUUAGGAAGUCUGGAUACGUCGGUGGGGGCCUCGGGAAGAGUUAUCUUUUUUGUUUAACCGCCUGCCAACCCUGGAAUCGGCUCAGCCAGAGGUAGGUACAGUGGCUGGAAGAGCACCGCACAUUGCGUGGUGUUCGGUGCACUACCGGCGGCCCUUGAAAAUCCAGAGGACCGAAUACCGCCCAAGCCCGUUCGUACUCAUAACCACAUCAGGUCUCCAAGGGGAACAGCCUCUGGUCGAUGGAACAAUGUAGGCAAGGGAAGUCGGAAAAAUGGAUUCGUAACUUCUGGAAAAUUAUUGGCACUGAGGGUUGGGCAUGGGGGUCCCAGUCCCAAACCCGUCGGCUGUUGGUGGACUACUCGAGCUGCUCCCGUAGUGAGAGCGGGUCACCGCGUACCAAUCGGGGGAUGGACUGGGAACGGUUCCUUCGGGGCCUUCCCGGCACGUCAAACAGCCAGCUCAGAAAUGGUACAGAAAAGGGGAAUCCGACUGUUUAAUUAAAACAAAGCAUUGUGAUGGUCCCAAUGGAUGUUCACGCAUUGUAAUUUCUGCCCAGUACUCUGAAUGUCAAAGUGAAGAAAUUCAACCAAGCGCGGGUAAACGACGGGAGUAAUAUGACUCUCUUAAGGUAGCCAAAUGUCUCGUCAUCUAAUUAGUGACACGCAUGAACGGAUUAACGAGAUUUCCACUAUCCCUAUCUACUAUCCAGCAAAUCCACAACCAAGGGAACGGGCUUGGCAGAAUCAGCUGGGAAAGAAGACCCUCUUGAGCUUGACUCUACUCCGACUUUGUGAAAUGACUUGAGAGGUGUAGUAUAAGUAGGAGACGAAAGGCAAAAGUGAAAUACCACUACUUUUAACGUUAUUUAACUUAUUCCGUGAAUCGGAAGAGAGGCACUGCCCCUCUUUUCUAACCCAAGGAUCUCUCUGCGGGCCGAUUAGGGUGGAAGACAUUGUCAGGUGGGGAGUUUUGCUGGGGCAGCAUAUCUGUUAAAAGAUAAUGCAGGUGUCCAAAGAUGAGCUCAACGAGAAUAGAAAUAUCCUGUGGAGCAGAAGGGUAAAAGCUCAUUUGAUUUUGAUUUCCAGUACGAAUACAAACCAUGAAAGCAUGGCCUAAUGAUUCUUUAGACCUUCGGAAUUCGAAGCUAGAGGUGUCAGAAAAGUGUUACCACCGGGAUAACUGGCCUUUUGCAGCCAAGCAUUCAUAGCGGCAUUGCUUUUUCAUCCUUCCAUGUCGGCUCUUCCUAUCAUUGUGAAGCAGAAUUCACCAAGUGUUGGACUGUUCACCCAACAAUAGGGAACAUGAGUUGGGUUUAGACCAUCGUGACACAGGUUAGUUUUACCCUACUUAUGACAGUGUCGCAGUAGUAAUUCAACCUAGUAGGAGAAGAAAUGUUGAUUCACAUAAUUUGUCAUCACCCCUGGUUGAAAAGCUAGUGCUGCAAAGCUACCGUGUGCUGGCUUAUGACAGAAUGCCUCUAGGUUAGAAUCCAAGCUAGAAGUGACGCAUGCACCCGCUGUCCGCUUGUCGACCAGUAGUAGAGGCCUCGUCCCCCAAGGGCACGUGUCAUUUGCUAAGCCACCACAGCGGAAGAGUCACGAUGACAGCUUUGAAGUAUAAUUUCCAUCGAGUGGCAGGUAGAAUCCUUUGCAGAUGACUUAAAUAUGCGACGAGGUAUUGUACAUGGAAGAGUG